GUUUGGAGUUGUUGGAAGGCAAAGAGCUUCCAGGUGUCCUUGCUCUUGAUGAAGCCAUACCAGUUGCUGUGUAAGAUUAGUCUGAUUUUUUCCCCAUCCCUGCAUUUAGUGCUCUUUAUUGUUCUUCAUAAACGAGAAAGAACUGUUGUGGAGAGAUAUGAGUUCAUGUUGUAAAUUUUUCUCUUUGCCUUCAAUGCCAGAGGUGUCAUUCCAUCUCUCCCUUUUGUUUCUUCAUUUUAAAAUUGCCAAAAACAAACAGCAAGAGCAAAGAGAGGCAGCCAGAUUUUUAAAUAAAGUUCCAUUUUAUUAAUUGUUAUCCAUUGUUUUAUUCAUAGCUUCCAAAAAAUGAAGUUUAUUUUGAUUGAGAAAUACAAGAAUGUAAAUACAAUCCCUACCUUUAUUCUUUUUCUGAAAUUUCAUUGCAAGUCCCAUGCUUGAAGCAAUUUCAGUUAGCAGAAUGUAUGCCCAAAAUUUUAAUUAUGCAGUUAAAAUGUACUGUGAACAUAUAUAUAUAUACACACACACACACACACAUAGAGAGAGAGAGAGAGAAGGGACCCCCAAGUGACAUGCACACAAAAAUCAUCACA
Molecule: long non-coding RNA, 590 nt
Filed under: Manihot esculenta (cassava)
Lineage: Eukaryota; Viridiplantae; Streptophyta; Magnoliopsida; Malpighiales; Euphorbiaceae
Description: long non-coding RNA (MESC_LNC003723)
Source: RNAcentral